RNAcentral lists this ribosomal RNA (449 nucleotides) under uncultured bacterium. RNAcentral's name for it is "bacterial SSU rRNA". It matches the Rfam family "Bacterial small subunit ribosomal RNA", at positions 29 to 524 of the family's 1533-position model. The record is from RNAcentral.
AACGAACGCUGGCGGCAGGCCUAACACAUGCAAGUCGAACGCCCCGCAAGGGGAGUGGCAGACGGGUGAGUAACGCGUGGGAACGUGCCCUUCGGUUCGGAAUAACUCAGGGAAACUUGAGCUAAUACCGGAUACGUCCGUAAGGAGAAAGAUUUAUCGCCGAAGGAUCGGCCCGCGUCGGAUUAGCUAGUUGGUGAGGUAACGGCCCACCAAGGCGACGAUCCGUAGCUGGUCUGAGAGGAUGANCAGCCACACUGGGACUGAGACACGGCCCAGACUCCUACGGGAGGCAGCAGUGGGGAAUAUUGGACAAUGGGCGAAAGCCUGAUCCAGCCAUGCCGCGUGAGUGAAGAAGGCCUUAGGGUUGUAAAGCUCUUUCAGCGGGGAANAUAAUGACGGUACCCGCAGAAGAAGCCCCGGCUAACUUCGUGCCAGCCCGCCGCGGUAAG